GCAUAUCAAUAAGCGGAGGAAAAGAAACUAACAAGGAUUCCCUUAGUAACGGCGAGUGAAGCGGGAAGAGCUCAAAUUUGAAAUCUUCAAGGUUUUACCUUGACGAAUUGUAGUUUAAAGAAGUGUUUUCUGUUGAAGUUUUGGUAAAAGUUCUUUGGAAUAGGACAUCAUAGAGGGUGAGAAUCCCGUAUUUGACCAUUAUUUUCAGCUGUGUGAUACACUUUCAAAGAGUCGGAUUGUUUGGGAAUGCAGUCCAAAAUGGGUGGUAAAUUUCAUCUAAAGCUAAAUAUUGGCGAGAGACCGAUAGCGAACAAGUACCGUGAGGGAAAGAUGAAAAGAACUUUGAAAAGAGAGUUAAACAGUACGUGAAAUUGUCAAAAGGGAAGCGUUUGACACCAGUGUUGUUUUCUCGAAAAUCAAUUAAAAAGAGUUGGAUUUUGUGUUGUAUUGACCUUAACAGCUUGCUUCACUCUUUUCCAGCUUUUUUUAAUGCACUUUUCGUUUAACAAGUCAACAUCAGUUUCUUUUGUUGUAAAAGGGUCAUUGGAAGGUGGCUUUCUCUUCGGAGAAAGUGUUUAUAGCCUUUGAUCUCUGCAAUCGGAGAGACUGAGGUCUGCAGCGUAGAUCCUUCGGGGUUAGAUACAUUUGUGCUAAGCUACAGCUUUUCAUAGACAACUUGUUGACUAUGUUUCGUCUUGUGACUUACCCGCUUAUGCUAUUUUACCUACGCUUAGGAUGUUGACAAAAUGGUUUUAAACGACCCGUCUUGAAACACGGACC
This 780-nucleotide ribosomal RNA is filed under the name Piromyces communis. Its description in RNAcentral is "partial large subunit ribosomal RNA". It matches the Rfam family "Eukaryotic large subunit ribosomal RNA", at positions 38 to 667 of the family's 3401-position model. The record is from RNAcentral. Lineage: Eukaryota; Fungi; Neocallimastigomycota; Neocallimastigomycetes; Neocallimastigales; Neocallimastigaceae.